UACGAAGGGGACUAGCGUUGUUCGGAAUUACUGGGCGUAAAGCGUACGUAGGCGGAUUUGUAAGUCAGGGGUGAAAUCCCGGGGCUCAACCUCGGAACUGCCUUUGAUACUGCAAAUCUCGAGUCCGAUAGAGGUGGGUGGAAUUCCGAGUGUAGAGGUGAAAUUCGUAGAUAUUCGGAAGAACACCAGUGGCGAAGGCGGCUCACUGGACUGGUAUUGACGCUGAGGUGCGAAAGCGUGGGGAGCAAACAGG
RNAcentral lists this ribosomal RNA (253 nucleotides) under uncultured bacterium. RNAcentral describes it as "partial 16S ribosomal RNA". It matches the Rfam family "Bacterial small subunit ribosomal RNA", at positions 524 to 776 of the family's 1533-position model. The record is from RNAcentral.